This 2764-nucleotide small RNA is filed under the name Rattus norvegicus (Norway rat). RNAcentral describes it as "uncharacterized LOC102549132". Lineage: Eukaryota; Metazoa; Chordata; Mammalia; Rodentia; Muridae. The record is from RNAcentral.
AAUUUUACCUGGGUGACAUUUUCUCUACCUAGGUGUGAAAUUAUUAGGCUCUUUGAUUAUGCUUUUAUGUUCUUAAUUCUAAAACAACAAGUAAUUAUUACUGGAACAGAUUUGGUAUACUUCUAUGUGCAUAAAAUCAUGAAUAUUUUUUAUGAGUGUGGUCCUUGGGAGAUAACUACUUUGAGGCCCUUUGUGAUGUGAACCCACUGAGGAUAGGCCUUCCUGGCCCUAGAGGGUUUUCCCAGAACAGGAAGGAGCAUUGGGAAAUGAUCUACUUAACAACUUCCUUCAUUUUUCAGGUACUAGGUAAGGAGUAAACAAGUGCUUGGUUUUAUGUCCUCCACUGAUUAGUAGCUGAGCUAAUAGAAACAUAGAAACUUCCAGAGAAACUUGAAGAGAAGAUGUAUGUUUAUAUUUCUCAAGUUAUCCAGAAAGAAUUUCAAUUGACUUCCUUUAAGUGACACAGAAAUGUAUUGUUUUUAUUCCAUAGGAAAGCUUGUCUCACUGAGUAGAAGAUGGCUUUGAACUACCAACAAUUUAAUCUGCUCAUCUAUGUUUGUAUUUUAAUCUAUGCAAGAGUUGCUUAUGUGGCAAGAGGGUUUACUUGUGGCAAGAGGGAACACUUGAUAAUCAGCCUUCUGUCAAUUUCUGUGUCUCAGAAUAUCUAGCAAGUCAUGGCCAAUGCCUGGCAUCUCAAAACUUGGUUUCCUUGGUUGACAGGAAAGCAUCCCUCAUCUUGGCUUGGAAUAUCUUUCAAAUACAGGCAUAACCUGUUUUUCUCAGUUUUUCUCCAAAUAACCUGGUCUUCUCAGUAUUUCUCCCAUGUGUUUAAGAAGAAAAAAGUUACAAAAUUUGGAAUGUCACAUGCACCUGGCUAUCUGAUUUGUUUUUGCCUGGCCAUAUUCUUUCUCAUGGCUCACUGGCCUUUGAGUAUGGCUGGGUAGAUUUUUGGAGAGAUUCUUUUGUGUGCAUACAUAAUUAUUGUAUAUAGCUGUGCAGGUGCAGGUAUGUUUGCAUGUGCAUGUGUGCACACGGAUUUGAGGGAAUUUAGAAAUUUGGAGAAAACAAUCUUAGCUAUAGUUUUUGAGAUGGCAUCCACUCAGAUAUUUUUGAGACAGUGUCUCUUACUAGAUUGGAACUUGGCCAAGUCUGGCUGGCCAUCAAACCCUGGGAUAUACCUAUCUCUCUUCUCCAGUGCUGCGUAUCUAAACUUUGACCUUCAUGCUUGAAAGGAAAGUUCUUUACUGAGUGAGGUAUUUCCCACAACCCUUUAGUGGGAUGCUUUAAAAGUUGUUCCCGACUGGCUUCAUUUCACAUGUUCUACAUGUGGCCCACAAAGGGCAGCCUUCAUCAUCUUUCCACAGAAUUCUGAAAGGAAAGGCCGUUUCCAUGGCUAGCCCCUCUGUGUACCUUCAUCUUAAAACUAGACAAGAGUAUUCUAGAAUGAUGUAGUUCAGUUGGGCUUUUUAUCUCUGACUCCAAAAGACAUGGCCAAGCAAUCUGAUUCACUCUCUCAGUCCAACUGCUGCUUUUUCAAGCGGUGAUAGGGACUUAGUGAAGGCUACACCAAUGUCUAUAAAAAUCAGUCUUUCUUAUUGACCUCUCAGACUUCUCUAGGAACAGCCAGGUUUCUCUGGCAUCAUUUGAAGAAGGAAAUGAUACUGACACAGCUGAUUCAGCCUAACAAGGUGGAAUGCAGUUUUUCUGCCUAAAGUCCAUGCUAUCCUGGAAAGAAUGGAGUUGUCGUGCACACCUCAACAAGCGUUUUAGUGAGCAGAGGCCAUUUUGCUUCUGAAGUGGACACAAAAGACCUGUUUGAAGAUGCCCUGAAAUAAGAGACAUAGAUUCACACUGUUCUCUUUUCCUCACAAUAAUGAAAGAGAGAGAGAGAGUUCAUCUCAAGAUGACAUUAAGGGGCAAUAGGAUGAACUGUCUCGUGCAUCUGCAGUCACGCCUUUCCAUGACGAUGGAUCUGCACCACACUUUCCCAAUAAAAGCUGAAGAUAAGACUUUAAUUUGUCAUGUGUGUUGUUAUGGCAACCAUUAAAGUAACUCUUACAUAAGGAUAAACUCCAAAAUAUAGCAUUGAGAAAAAGUAUGAAGCACAAUGGUUUGUGUCUGUGAUUCUAGAAGUCAGAACUGUAGUUUUCUUUGGAGGAAUUUACUGAGAUCAGCUAAGAGUUAUGGUUCAUAGCUUGAUCUGAGUGAUGAUUUUAUAGGUGAACCAAUAUAUAAAAAUGAUCAAGGUGCACUCUUAGAUUGUGUGCUUCCAUCUGUAUAUUUACACGAAAAACCAUUGAUGGCUUAUCAUCAUCAUAUUUUUCACAGCAUGUGUAAUUCCUAGUUCUGGUCCCUUCUUUAAGUAGAACCCAAGUUACGGUCUCAACUUCCCUGUAUCUGGGUUUCCAGUCACCUGAGAGGUAAUGCAGCAUCAUUCUUUGUUCUUGUUCAGAUUUUCAAUUAUUUUUGGACUAACAUUGUUCAUUCUGGUUCUUCCUUUCUAUAUAUUCCAUUUGGGGGAAAUUCUUCACUUAUAUUACUUGUCAAAACAUGUUUGGUGAAAUGUAAACAAGUUAGUUGACUACAACUUACUUAGUAUUGUGCUUAUCAUAUGGUCAGCAUGCAUUUAAUAUUAUUAACACAUAGGAAAUUAUUAAUAUUCACUUCAGUGAUACACACAAUGAUACUUUCUCGUGGCCCCAUGUAAUAUAAACUAAAGUUAUUAAUAUCACUCCUCAAAAUGAGCAUUUGUGUCAAUAAUUGG